GCGCGGCUCGAGACGAAUGGAGGCGGCGCGGAGGCCGCGGUUGGGGCUGCGCCGCCGGAGGCCGUCCUCGGGGGGCGGUGGCCGCGCGGGGCCCCUCCCGGAGGACGGAGGCGAGUGCGCGCGGCCGUGGGCGGAGCUGCUGCGCGCUGCGAGAGCGGAUCUGAACCCCGACGGAGAGCUGCCGCCGCUGCCCGCCUUCCCCGACCCGGAAUCUGGACGCGGUCCCGAGCGUGCCGCGUCCCCCGAGGUGUUCACCGUGGGACCCCACACCUUUUCCUGGACGCCCUUCCCGCCGGCCCCGAGCGGAGGCGGGGGCUCAGGCCGUUGCUACAAGCUGCUCCUUGGGGCCGGGGGGCGCCCGGGGUCCCCCGCCCGGUCCCCGCAGCGAUGUCUGGGGCCUGAGCCCCGCGGGACCCCCGGCGCCCGGGAGCGACGGUGGGAGGCGGCGCCGACCCUGCGGACCUGCCCCAUGUGCCAGACCGACUUCGCCCCCGGUAAGGGGAGUGGCUCCAAUUUUGUUAAGAUAUUAAUCUCCAGACGCCCAGCUCGUGGGCCGUGUGUCACACAGCUCAGGACACAGACGUGGGGGUCACAGGGGUCAGGAUUAUCAAAAGGAUCCCGGUCAAGUGAAGUGAAUGGACAGCAGGUUCAGUAAGCGGACCAGCGCCGGACCUCGCGUGGCUGGGAGAACGGUGUCCUUAAGUCGCGGGUCACGUCCCUGGUCCCCGGAAGCAAAAACAGCCCAGGACGGUGAAGACAAUGGAGCCGCUGACGACAGAGCAAACACCAGCAAACCUUGUCAGAAUAGGCAGCGCGGAGCCCGCACGGGAAGGCCUUUAGACCCGACCUUCUAAUCAGAGAGACGACGUCCCGUCUGUGCUCAGCUGUCUGGGCUUCUCCAGGCUGCGCUUUGUAUCACAACAAGGCUUUGAGAGCCUGGUGUUGGGGGUGGGCCCGGCACCCCUGUGCUCAUCGCCUCGCGGAGCCCACAGGUCGGGCGAGGCAGUGGGUGAGGCCCCGGCAGGGGAAGCCACCUGCCAGGCAUGGAGAAGGGAGCCCGGUGGCCCACGGGAGGUUCCCUGGCUGUCGUGUGAGCGCCAGGUCUGCAAAGUGUCUGCAGACCCAGCCUUUCGCCGUCCUGCCUGCCUCUUGCCAGAACCGGUGUUUGGGGCUGGCUUGCCCGUUCUGACAAAGCAGUGAGCACCUUUAAACCGGGGGUGCUCCUGAUUUCCUGACUCAUCCCCAUCCACAGAAACCCAGGGGCCGGAGGUACCAUCGGGAGCCCCGGAGGGAAAUGGUUUUCUGGAGAGCUGAUGCGGUCGGGGUGCCCCAACUGUCCUCCUGUUCUAGGGGGUCCUUUUUGUCCUUGGCGUGCUGGCAUUUGUGCACAGUCUAAAAAACAGACUUCCAGCGACGGAGACGUUACAGAAAAGUUCCAGUUUCGGGUUUUGUAAGCAGUCGAAGGAAGACUUGGGAGCGCGCCUCAUUUUUCCCAAAGUAGGUGUCGGCGUGUUUGGGCUCACGUCUCCGCGCAUCGGAAACGCUGUGGCACGUUCUUCCGCUUGACGAGGGAGAGGGUCCGUGGGCCAGAGCACACCCCUCAGGUUGUGGCUGUGACUGGGGACAACAGACAUCCCGUGUCACUGGAAGCGAAGGCUCACGUCCUUUGUGGGAUGUUCGGGGCAAGGAGACAGACUGGGCCUUGGGAGUGCCCAGGUUAGCAGGUGGACACGGUAAUCGAACUGUCAAAUUGUCUUCUGACGUUUCUAGAAAAGCGUGGGCUUUUAGUAAUUCUUGGGAAUUUUUUAAAUGUUAAUUUUUUAAAAGUAAACGCUACACCCAACGUGGGGCUCGAACUCAUGAUCCCCGACGCCAAGAGUCACACACUCUUUUGGCCCAACCAGCCAGGCGCCCCACUUGGGAACUUCUCUCCCGGAAACCAAAGUCACGCAUUGCUCUCCGUGUUCAUCCCCGGGGGGGGGGGGACAGACGCCCGUAGCGAUUCUGGCGGAGUAUGUGCCUCGGGGAGACGGCGCCUGAGGACAAACUCGCCGAUCUUCUCAAAGCCUUAGCGUUUUCCAGGUCACUCGGGGCACUGCUUUGUUCUUCAGUGUGACAGACGACCAGGUACUGGGCUCGCCAGACCGGGUGUGAGCCCCGUGCCCUGAAGAUGUGCCUGUUGGCACGCCCGGUGCCCCAUGUACUUUCUGAUGCCCGUGAGUCUCACACACACACACACACACACGGUUGGGAAAACAGGCUCCCAUGGGCCAGCUGACAUGAAGACGUGGAAACCGGAAGCUGAGCGGUGUCCCCUGUGCUCCACGAGAGCCUGGCUUGUUGGCGUCUUGCGGCUCCGAGGCCCCUCGAGCUGCCAGACACAGAGCCCGCUCUGUUUGAGUCGGAAGCCGGCGGAGGAUCUUGGGCUGAGUCUCCUCUCGUGCGGCCAGGCCGGCUGUCCACACACUGGAUUCCCGUGUGACAGCGAGGCAGGCCUGUCUUGGGACAAGCUGCUGCAGGGAGUCUGUAGAGCAGGUCUGGCCGAGACAAAGCUCUUUUACCAGGGGGAGGUCCGAAGGGGCCCGAGGGUACCUCCCGGACACCCCAGACAAGGUGGCCUGGAGCAGACCUUAGAAUAUUCUGGCAGCCUCGGAGAGAGCCCGCAGGAGCCCCAGGGACUUCAGAGCACACCGAGCCGCCUACAGGGUCUGAGAGGGCGGCCGCCGGCCACCAGAACGGGCAUGGGCUCCCAGAGCCACAGGGUGAGGGCGGUGCUGUGGCCCUCAGGGCCUCGCGGUGAUGCCCCGGGGAAGGGCCUUUCCCCUCUGGCCGGUGAACUUGGCCAGCUGACCAGGAUGGCCCUAGAUGUGGGCAGGGGAAAGGUCCCAUCUUGGGAGGUCUCGGAGUAGAGAAGCCAUCUGGGCAAAUCCCCUCGGAGGCCAUGUCCCUCAGGCGUCUCCAGAGGUCCCGACGGGACUCAGGACGCAUGAGGCGGCCGUUCUGUCAGCCACUGGUGGAGACCUGGGGAGCCCCGGUGGGGAGCGCUGUUGGGGCAAGACCCGUGUCUUCUACUCUGUAAGGUGCAGGUGGGGCCUCAGCCGCCGUGACACAUGCCUGGGCUGGGGCAGAGGUUGUGGGUGACAUCCGAGUCCCAACGUGAAAGGGGUCGUCAUCCAGGCUGCCGAACCCAGGGAGACGGAGGAGGCUGGGCCCGUCCGGAGCAUGAGCAGGGCUGGACGAGGGGGGCCGAUAGCAGGGGGCCCAGGGGCUGUGGGCCGGCCAGCCACCGGGUAAGGUAGACCCCACGCUGCAGUGGACACGGGAGCUAUGCUGCUUGCAGUCGGGGGGCUCAGCCCUCUGGGGGUGUGGGCACGAGGAAGGAAGACCUCACGUCCUCGUGCCCACAGGCUUCACGUCACGUGCCCGGGAGGCCUGACGGAGGAGCUGCUGCCCCGUUCUUGCACCGCUGAUGGUCUCUGCCGAUCCCCUUUCCUGGGGACGGCCUUUUAGGCUCCAGCGCCAGCAGUUGGCUGGGAGCCGUGGGGUUCUCAAGCCGAGUCGGGGCCAGAAUCCCCUGGGGAGUUCGUUCAGACACAGGGUGCCCCCGCCCCCCCAGCCUCAGAGGCAGGAGUCUGCGUGAGCCUCGAGAACGUGUCUGACGGACACGUGGCAGGCUGGCCCAGCUGGACAUCGACAACCACCUCGCUCAGUGCCUGGAGGAGAGUGCAGAGGACGUGGUGUGGUGACUGACCUGCGGGA
RNA transcript from Lynx canadensis (Canada lynx), 3759 nucleotides. It is a transcript of the gene named FA core complex associated protein 20, with no coding region annotated. Lineage: Eukaryota; Metazoa; Chordata; Mammalia; Carnivora; Felidae. The transcript has 5 exons. The record is from RefSeq and is a predicted model, not a curated record.